CAGGGUGACAGGUGGUGCAUGGUUGUCGUCAGCUCGUGUCGUGAGAUGUUGGGUUAAGUCCCGCAACGAGCGCAACCCUCGACCUUAGUUGCCAGCAUUCAGUUGGGCACUCUAGGGUGACUGCCGGCUAAAAGUCGGAGGAAGGUGGGGAUGACGUCAAAUCAUCAUGCCCCUUAUGACCUGGGCUACACACGUGCUACAAUGGGCGGUACAAAGGGUCGCGAACCCGCGAGGGGGAGCCAAUCCCAAAAAGCCGCUCUCAGUUCGGAUUGCAGGCUGCAACUCGCCUGCAUGAAGCCGGAAUCGCUAGUAAUCGCGGAUCAGCAUGCCGCGGUGAAUACGUUCCCGGGCCUU
Molecule: ribosomal RNA, 354 nt
Filed under: uncultured Anoxybacillus sp.
Lineage: Bacteria; Bacillati; Bacillota; Bacilli; Caryophanales; Anoxybacillaceae
Description: bacterial SSU rRNA
Rfam family: Bacterial small subunit ribosomal RNA
Source: RNAcentral